RNAcentral lists this ribosomal RNA (530 nucleotides) under uncultured bacterium. RNAcentral describes it as "bacterial SSU rRNA". It matches the Rfam family "Bacterial small subunit ribosomal RNA", at positions 777 to 1304 of the family's 1533-position model. The record is from RNAcentral.
AAUAGAUACCCCGGUAGUCCACGCCGUAAACGAUGAGUGCUAAGUGUUAGAGGGUUUCCGCCCUUUAGUGCUGCAGCUAACGCAUUAAGCACUCCGCCUGGGGAGUACGGUCGCGAGACUGAAACUCAAAGGAAUUGACGGGGGCCCGCACAAGCGGUGGAGCAUGUGGUUUAAUUCGAAGCAACGCGAAGAACCUUACCAGGUCUUGACAUCCUCUGACAACUCUAGAGAUAGAGCGUUCCCCCUUCGGGGGACAGAGUGACAGGUGGUGCAUGGUUGUCGUCAGCUCGUGUCGUGAGAUGUUGGGUUAAGUCCCGCAACGAGCGCAACCCUUGAUCUUAGUUGCCAGCAUUUAGUUGGGCACUCUAAGGUGACUGCCGGUGACAAACCGGAGGAAGGUGGGGAUGACGUCAAAUCAUCAUGCCCCUUAUGACCUGGGCUACACACGUGCUACAAUGGAUGGUACAAAGGGCUGCAAGACCGCGAGGUCAAGCCAAUCCCAUAAAACCAUUCUCAGUUCGGAUUGUAGG